GGUUAAGCGACUAAGCGUACACGGUGGAUGCCCUGGCAGUCAGAGGCGAUGAAGGACGUGCUAAUCUGCGAUAAGCGUCGGUAAGGUGAUAUGAACCGUUAUAACCGGCGAUUUCCGAAUGGGGAAACCCAGUGUGAUUCGUCACACUAUCAUUAACUGAAUCCAUAGGUUAAUGAGGCGAACCGGGGGAACUGAAACAUCUAAGUACCCCGAGGAAAAGA
This 221-nucleotide ribosomal RNA is filed under the name Escherichia coli. RNAcentral describes it as "partial 23S ribosomal RNA". It matches the Rfam family "Bacterial large subunit ribosomal RNA", at positions 1 to 222 of the family's 2925-position model. Lineage: Bacteria; Pseudomonadati; Pseudomonadota; Gammaproteobacteria; Enterobacterales; Enterobacteriaceae. The record is from RNAcentral.